RNAcentral lists this transfer RNA (82 nucleotides) under Ipomoea nil (Japanese morning glory). It matches the Rfam family "tRNA". Rfam says of the family: Transfer RNA (tRNA) molecules are approximately 80 nucleotides in length. Their secondary structure includes four short double-helical elements and three loops (D, anti-codon, and T loops). The record is from Rfam by way of RNAcentral. Lineage: Eukaryota; Viridiplantae; Streptophyta; Magnoliopsida; Solanales; Convolvulaceae.
GUGGUUGUGCCGGAGUGGUUAUCGAGCAUGACUAGAAAUUAUGUGGGCUUUGCCUGCGCAGGUUUGAAUCUUGUUGACCAUG